Molecule: long non-coding RNA, 1081 nt
Organism: Canis lupus familiaris (dog)
Lineage: Eukaryota; Metazoa; Chordata; Mammalia; Carnivora; Canidae
Exons: 4
Source: RefSeq, a predicted model, not a curated record
GCCGAAUAAUAUUGUAUCGUCUAGAUCUACCACAGUUUGAUUAUCUACCUACUGAAGGACAUCUUGGUUGCUUCCAAGUUUUGACAUUAUGAAUAAAGCUGCUACAAACAUUCACCUGCAGAUUUGUAACUCCUUUGUAUGGAGACCAAGGAAUGUAAUUGCUGGAUCAUAUGACUUUGGUCUUCUACAGUGACUUGGACUUCUAUCAAGGGAUUCAACAAUGACUCCAUUGACUUGGAAAUUAAGAUGCUUCUUGGCCAUUGAAUCCUCAUGCCACUGAAUUUACAGGCAAUGCAGAGGACUAUGGUGAAAUUGUUUCCUCUCUGAACUUGCAGAUUAGAUCCCAAGCACAUUCCUUGACAAGGGAUCUUGCUCAGUAAUGGAAAAUGCCUACAAGAGACCCCCUGAUGAAAAAGACUAUGCUUAGCAAUGGAAUUUACUGCCCACAUUACUUAUGGGUUCACCUGUUUACAAGGUACUUAUAUGAUCUUUAGUGAAAGCAUGUUUACUGUGAUUGGAUCAAGGCAACUGAGCACAUACAUCUCCUUCCUGCUCUAAAUUUCUGGGAAAAACACACAUACGUAACUACAGUUAAGUAGUUAGCUCUGGGAUACACGGUAUACACUUCAUGGAACCAAAAGUCUGAUGACCGCUUGAAAGACAGAAGAAAUGACUGAGCACCAUUUCCAUAGGAGAAGGUUUGCCUGAAAGGUGAAAGCAGCUACUUGCUUAGAAGCAGCAAAUGAAAAAAGGAGAGAUUUUUCGAGCAGCCUUCAGGAUUAUGGCCAGUGUAACUGUAAGAGGAACAACCAGACACAUUGCUGUGCCUCAAAUCAUCAGGCAACAGACAGAUGGACACCCAGGAGGGGACAUAAAAAAAAAAUGGGUACUGCAUCCUAUACCCAGGGGAUGAGCUGCAAAUGCAUACUUCAUCCUGUCCCCAUGAUCACUGAUGGUGUGCUGCCUUAUGCUGAAAUAGUAUUUGUGGAAAGCUCUAAAAUUAAAAUGGAUGUCCAACAGAGAAUCUCCUGGCAUUUGAGGAAAUCGGAUAUUGGGUCCAGCAAGAAGGGCAUCAAAGUCA